AAUUAUUUAGUUUAUUUAUUUUAAAACAAAUGUUUUGAAAACAUUAAAAAAGAGAAGACUUUCUUAGUAAUUA
RNAcentral lists this transfer RNA (73 nucleotides) under Sinopotamon yaanense. Its description in RNAcentral is "tRNA-Ser". Lineage: Eukaryota; Metazoa; Arthropoda; Malacostraca; Decapoda; Potamidae. The record is from RNAcentral.